Molecule: transfer RNA, 73 nt
Filed under: Perca fluviatilis (European perch)
Lineage: Eukaryota; Metazoa; Chordata; Actinopteri; Perciformes; Percidae
Rfam family: tRNA
About the family: Transfer RNA (tRNA) molecules are approximately 80 nucleotides in length. Their secondary structure includes four short double-helical elements and three loops (D, anti-codon, and T loops).
Source: Rfam by way of RNAcentral
GUUUCCGUAGUGUAGUGGUUAUCACGUUUGCCUCACACGCAAAACGUCCCCUGUUCGAAACAGGGCGGAAACA